RNAcentral lists this ribosomal RNA (301 nucleotides) under uncultured bacterium. Its description in RNAcentral is "partial 16S ribosomal RNA". It matches the Rfam family "Bacterial small subunit ribosomal RNA", at positions 509 to 807 of the family's 1533-position model. The record is from RNAcentral.
CAGCAGCCGCGGGAAUACGGAGGGUGCAAGCGUUAAUCGGAAUUACUGGGCGUAAAGCGUGCGUAGGCGGUUCGUUAAGUCUGUUGUGAAAGCCCCGGGCUCAACCUGGGAAUGGCAAUGGAUACUGGCGAGCUAGAGUGUGUCAGAGGAUGGUGGAAUUCCCGGUGUAGCGGUGAAAUGCGUAAAGAUCGGGAGGAACAUCAGUGGCGAAGGCGGCCAUCUGGGUCAACACUGGCGCUGAGGCACGAAAGCGUGGGGAGCAAACAGGAUUAGAUACCCGGGUAGUCCCUGUCUCUUAUAC